GCCCAACUGUAAUACAACAAUUAAACCACAGAUUGUUCGCCAAAUAACUACGAGUAAAAACUUAAAAUUUAAAAGACUUGACGGUACUUCACAACAACCUAGAGGAGCCUGUCCUAUAACCGAUAACCCACGAUUAACCCUGCCCCCCCUGGCCCACAGUCUAUAUACCGCCGUCGCCAGCCUACCUUGUGAAAGAAAUAAAGUAAGCUAAACAACACACAUUAACACGACAGGUCGAGGUGUAACUAAUGGGGCGGAGAAAGAUGGGCUACAUUUUCCACCAGGAAUAUACGAAUGCGAUUACGAAAAUUAGCCGCUGAAGGCGGAUUUAGCAGUAAGAUAAGAAUAAAAUGCCUAACUGAAAUAUGCAAUGAAGUGCGUACACACCGCCCGUCAUCCCUGCAGUAUUAUAAAAAAAUACAUAAUGAACACCACACCCAAACCAGGGCAAGUCGUAACAUGGUAAGUGUACUGGAAAGUGUACUUAGUAA
This 491-nucleotide ribosomal RNA is filed under the name Pareas formosensis (Formosa slug snake). RNAcentral describes it as "partial 12S ribosomal RNA". Lineage: Eukaryota; Metazoa; Chordata; Lepidosauria; Squamata; Pareidae. The record is from RNAcentral.